Molecule: ribosomal RNA, 443 nt
Filed under: uncultured bacterium
Lineage: Bacteria
Description: partial 16S ribosomal RNA
Rfam family: Bacterial small subunit ribosomal RNA
Source: RNAcentral
CCUACGGGAGGCAGCAGUGGGGAAUAUUGGGCAAUGGGCGCAAGCCUGACCCAGCAACGCCGCGUGAAGGAAGAAGGCUCUCGGGUUGUAAACUUCUUUUAUCAGGGACGAAGCAAGUGACGGUACCUGAUGAAUAAGCCACGGCUAACUACGUGCCAGCAGCCGCGGUAAUACGUAGGUGGCAAGCGUUAUCCGGAUUUACUGGGUGUAAAGGGCGUGGAGGCGGGAAAGCAAGUCAGAUGUGAAAGCCAUGGGCUCAACCUGUGGCCUGCAUUUGAAACUGUUUUUCUUGAGUACUGGAGAGGCAGACGGAAUUCCAAGUGUAGCGGUGAAAUGCGCAGAUAUAAGGAGGAACACCAGUGGCGAAGGCGGUCUGCUGGACAGCAACUGACGCUGAGGCGCGAAAGCGUGGGGAGCAAACAGGAUUAGAUACCCGAGUAGUC